This 114-nucleotide Y RNA is filed under the name Prolemur simus (greater bamboo lemur). RNAcentral's name for it is "Y RNA (ENSPSMG00000023403.1)". It matches the Rfam family "Y RNA". From Rfam's summary of the family: Y RNAs are components of the Ro ribonucleoprotein particle (Ro RNP), in association with Ro60 and La proteins. The Y RNAs and Ro60 and La proteins are well conserved, but the function of the Ro RNP is not known. The record is from Rfam by way of RNAcentral. Lineage: Eukaryota; Metazoa; Chordata; Mammalia; Primates; Lemuridae.
GGCUGGUCCAAAGGUAGUGAGUUAUCUCACUUGAUUGUUCAUAGUCAGUUACAGAUUGAACUCCUUGUACUACUACUUUCCCUCCUCCUCACUACUGCACUUGACUAGUCUUAA